This 399-nucleotide non-coding RNA is filed under the name Pan troglodytes (chimpanzee). Lineage: Eukaryota; Metazoa; Chordata; Mammalia; Primates; Hominidae. The record is from RNAcentral.
AGUGGAGGUUGGAUUCAGAGGACAUGGGGAUCAGUGUGGGCUGUGCUGGUCAAGGAGGGCUUCCAGGGAGAGGCAACUGAGGAUUCACUGCAAUUGUUCCUUGAGAAGAUGAGGAUCAGGUCGGGAAUUGGAAACAUCUGAGGGCUCAAUUCAACCUGGCUUCUAAAACGAACAUGGUGAACAUAGAUCAACUACUGAAGUUCUUUUAACCUCUGGCAUCCUAUCUGUGAAUUGUGGGGAGGAAACAGGGUCCACCCACUGCUGCACAAGAGGGGUGUGUGCAGACCAUCACCUUGUGUCUGCUGUAGCAGGAGACCCCUGGCCAUGCGGGACUGAACCCAUGAUUGCAGCUGAUCUUACUCUGUCUCUUCUCUGUGUGAGUAAAGUGUUGUUCCAUCU